RNAcentral lists this long non-coding RNA (293 nucleotides) under Vigna radiata. Its description in RNAcentral is "long non-coding RNA (VRAD_LNC016369)". Lineage: Eukaryota; Viridiplantae; Streptophyta; Magnoliopsida; Fabales; Fabaceae. The record is from RNAcentral.
CACUCUGUUUGGGGAUUCGAACAACGAGAUGGUGCGCUAAGCUACUAGUUUAAUUAAAAAUAUAUAAAUUAAUUUUUUUUUUUAUUUUUUGCGGGUAACAGGUACCUGUGGGUCAGGUAGUAUACUACUCGUACUCCAUCCGUUUAGAAGCGGGUAUUAAAAUACUCGUUACUACGGAUAGUAAAUAUCCAUGGAUAGUAACUACCUGUCGCAGAUUUUACCCAUGGAUACUCGUGCCCACGAAUUUUUUUGUCAUCCCUAGAUAGUGCUGUCUGAGGAUUCGCACAGUGAGC